Long non-coding RNA from Taeniopygia guttata (zebra finch), 4023 nucleotides. Lineage: Eukaryota; Metazoa; Chordata; Aves; Passeriformes; Estrildidae. The record is from Ensembl.
UUUGAAAUGCCUUUAGCCUGUUUUAGAGGAAUUUAAUUCUGUUUGCUAGGUAGAAGAGCCUGCAUCUUUGUAAAGCAGACUAUUAAAAUGCUGCCUGUGUACUUAAUGCUCUGUGAAGUUAUCUAAUGGGCAUUAUCUCAACCAUUAAAUGUCUCAAGCACACAAGUUGGAAGGAGAUGUGUCCUGUGGCUCCCAAGCCAUCUGUUGAGAUCCUGUAUUUUCAUGUAGUCAGGUGUAAACUGUUUAAUUUUUUCUAGUGCUUGAACUGGUAUUAACUGGAGUUUGGUUGCCUGGUUGAAUCUUCUGCUACAUUAAGUUUCUAUUCCUCUAGUUUUUGAAGUAAUAUCCUGCAGAAAUCUUGUCUUGGAAAGUGUUCAUCAUGAGAUAAGGUCCUUAUUAUUUUUCACGCAGUGUGCUACAGUAUUUUUUUACAGAGUAGGUCUUGCCUUAUGCAGGAAAAACAGAAGGAAGUCUGUAACAAAAGUGUGUGCUUUUGGUUACCAGAGAUGCCCAAAAGUGCAGGAGUGCCUAUUAAAGUAUUUUCUGUUGUUGUUUCAUAUUUUUAAAUGUUGAAUUAAUAAAUUAUGUUCGCCUUCUAUAGUAGAACUUAAUCUACUGGCUUUCGUUAUCCAGCCCAUUAAUGUCUGGAUGAAUUACAGCAACUGAUCAACUGCUAAUCUAAGCUUUUAGAGCAAUGUGUGUGACAACUUGGGGAUUUAUCUUUAGUUGGAGUUCGUCCAUCUUGAACUUUCCAACCAUUGGAUCUCAUUCUGCCCUUGUGUGUUACAGGUAAAAGGUUUCUAGCCAAUCUUCUGUGGAUACAUAAAAAUUUCUGAUGAAGUCCAUUCCUAAGAUUUCGCUUGAUAAGCUAAAUUUAGAACACUUCUGAACCUGUGUUUUAACAUACUUAUUUUAACUGUAUCUGCAAUAUUUAUAUUAUAUAUUGCUUGCUGGUAGGAGAUGUUAAUUUGAUUGCUCAUUGGCUCCACAUGAAACUGGUAACUCUUGGUAACUCUUCUGUUGUGUCUUUUUGCCUCACUAAUUUCCCUCCACAUUAGACUUUCCAAGAGUUUGAGGCAAGUGUGUGUGUGUGUGUGUGUGUGGUGGGGAAGAGAAAACAUGUCAGGACACUGUGUUAGAGGUACUUCAAUCAUUUUACUUUUUACUUUUGGAGAUAUGGAGAAUGUAGAAGAGAAUAGCAAAUCUUUACAGCAAGUCUGUAAAGCUGUAGCUUGGCCUUCCAUGUUAAUAUAUAUUUUCAUAUUUCUGUGGGGAUAUUGGGUUAAGUCACAGUGAAAAUAAUGUUGCAAACCUGCUUCUGAGCAUGGAUUUUUAACUUCCUUCAUCCAUUUCAAAAGUUUUGUUUUUGCUGAGUCUUAUGAUAUGAAUAUGGGGUUCCUCUAACUAAUCCUGCCAGUUAUUCAAGGAAGCUUUUUGGUUUUUGUUUCUAGAAAAUUAUCUUUAGUUCAAUGACCUUUCUGCUGGUAAUCAGUAGGGAGUUCAGAGGUCACCUGCUUUUCCUGCUAGAAGGCAAGAAUUCAGUUUUUUUUCGAGAGAAUUCUUUUCCAUCAAGAAACCUUUUGUAGUCUGACUUUGUGGAUGUUUUUUUUGAUGUAUGGACAUGUGGAUAAUCCAAAUUCUAAAUUCUGUAAUAUAAUCAAAAACUGGAGGACAGCUAGGACAUUUUAAGUUUUCAGUAGCAGUUAAGACUCACAUUGUUAUCAGCAGUCGUGCAGAAACUCUUCCUUUAGUUGUCUGAUCAUGUAGUCAUGUUUUUACUCUGUGAAGCAAGGCAGUCAAGUCAUGGGAGCAGAGGUUUAAAGAUUUUGCUUUUACACUAAUUUCUUGUCAAGUAUGUAUUGUUUUAUGUGUAAUUCACAUAAUUCAUAAUGCUUUAUUCAUAAUUCAUUAAUGCUUUUUUUGGUAUCAGUUUCUAGGUUAUUUGGGUGAGAGUUUCUGACUUGCUUUUACUUUUGCAUAGGAAGAAACAGAUGAAUUGAUUAUCAGGUGAGAUGAGCUGCAGCAGAAUUUGUAUUCAGCAGCGACAGAAUUAAUUUUGGAAGUGGAUCAACUGCCCCUCUCUGAGCACCCAAGAGCAUUACAGGAUGAUAAAGUUAAAUCCCUUCUGCUGAAUUUGUUCUGCUGUAACAGACUGAUGCCUGAGCAGGUGCUGAGGAAUGAUUGCUUCCUUGCAGUUGAUGUGAUUCCAGUUUCACUGCACCCAGGUGAAAAAUAUGAGCCUCAUAAAAACCAAAAUUCUGAAACAACAGAUUAAAAAAGGGAUUAACCAAGGAGAAUGGAGCAAAACCCUACUCAAUAGAUGAAAACUUUUCCAUCAGGUGUUUGAGACUUCUGUUUUGAAAUCAUUGCCCUGAUCUGAAAUAUCAAAGUAUAAAAGGUUUGGUAGGUGCAUUAAUUUUUUAAGAUUAUACAGUCUUCACUGUUUUCUUUUCAGUAUGUUUUAUUCUAAUUAAGUAUUUGGAGUUAUAAGUGUGAUUUUACUGGUUGUAUUCUUGGUUUGUCAGCCUUUUUCUUUACUCGUAUGUAGACUUUAAAUUUACAGAGACCAGUCCUGUUAGAUGCCAGAGAUCUUUAAGAUGAAACUUUAGUGAGUUGGUUUUUUAUUGAGUUUUCUAUCGCUCUUCAUGCUCUAAAUACAGAGAACAUAUUCCUCUUAAAGAUGUUACAGGAUAGUAUUUUGCUGAAUAAUUUUUUUAUUACAUAGACCGGUUGUUCUUACAGUAACUGCCUUCAGGAUUUAAGUAAACACCCCAAAAUUCUGCUUUGAAAACUGAUAAAAGAAAUGGUGAGCACCCUUCCUCUUUUCUUUUUUGCCUUUGAAAAAUGCAAUUGGCUUUCUAGAGAGCAGCCAUUCUUCUACUUGCUCCUUUGCUGUGCUGCUGCCAACCAAAAUAUUCUACACACACCUUUGCAGAACUGACUGUUUUUGCAAAAGCUACUGCUCUGUGUGCAUAUAUCACCUGUUACUAAAUGUUUUUUUGCAGUAGCUAUGAGGGUGUGAUUUUCAUGAAUGGGUUUGUUUGGCUGCAGCCCUUGGCUGUUGAAACUUCUAUUGAAAAAUGUUCUAUUUUCAAUUGAAAGUUUUUCUAUUUUUCUAUUGAAAAAUGUUGUCAGCUCUUUAUCUGUACAGGAAAUUGUAGUUUAUCUUUAUGAAGGUUUCCUUUCUUCUCAGGAAGGAACAGGUCAGAGUGUGCAGUGUUGCUGUAGCAGUAUAUUUAGCCUCUGGGUGUUGCUCUUGGACAGCACUGUUGGCAGAUUGCUAUUUUGCAGGAGAGUUACUGAAGCUGCUUGUUGUUGGAUGUAGAAUGUCAAAAUGCAGUAAUAGGCAAGCAGCACCACCAGGGGAAUUUGGGACCCCUCAGGUACAAUAAUAUGGUUCAUAGUGGGUAGAAGAUACCCUUGGCAGGCUCAUAUUUGAUAUUAUUAUUGGUUUUCUAUCCUUAAACCAAAAUUAGAUUUUUUUUUAAUAUGGAAUAGUGUGUAAGAUGCUCAUCCUCUUUUCAUUACAUGAUGCUGAUAUUUUUGAUUUCUGUAAAGUGUACCUAACCAAAGACAGUAAAAUACCAAAGUAUUUUUAUGACAUAAAAAGUGUUUUUAUGUAGAUUUUUUGGUUAAAGUGAUAAAUAUUUUCAUUACAGAAAUCACAGAAGAAUAAUACCUUGUCAAUGAAUAUAAACAUUUAAGAAGUUUUGUGGAAUGCUUUCCAAAUACUGAUUGCACUCUUUCCCUAUUAACUAACAUUAUAAUAAUUUAAUUAUUAAAAUUCUUACUCUAAUUUCAAUGAAUGUUAAACCCUGAAGAGAGGUUAGACUAACCUGAAUGUUUGUAUCAUGCUGUGUAACAAACGUUAGAAUAAAUUUUUGCCUGGUUUUCCUGCUCUAGAAUCCAUGCAAACUAAAGUGUACUUAAAUCCCCAAAUUGUUAACCUUGUUGCUUUUCUGAAGUGAGAAGUAUUCAUUUAUGCUUGACUAAAAAAAAUAAAUUUGCAGAUCAUUUAAAAUU